This 1796-nucleotide long non-coding RNA is filed under the name Podarcis lilfordi (Lilford's wall lizard). Lineage: Eukaryota; Metazoa; Chordata; Lepidosauria; Squamata; Lacertidae. The record is from RNAcentral.
UUUGUCAGUUGGUCGGUUGCUGCAGGGAGUGUUAACUGGUAACUACUCAGAUGCAGUCUUCUCAUAACUCACUACUAUCUAGUAUAUAGUUUACUUGUUAUGUAACCUAAGCCUGCCUUCAGGAACAACUCUGUAAACCUGAAUGAAUCUGAUAGUAAAGUAAAUGUAAAGGGACCCCUGACCAUUAGGUCCAGUUGUGACCGACUCUGGGGUUGCGGCACUCAUCUCGCUUUAUUGGCCAAGGGAGCCGGUGUACAGCUUCCGGGUCAUGUGGCCAGCAUGACUAAGCCGCUUCUGGCAAACCAGAGCAGUGCACGGAAACGCUGUUUAUCUUCCUGCCGGAGCGGUACCUAUUUAUCUACUUGCACUUUGACGUGCUUUUGAACUGCUAGGUUGGCAGGAGCAGGGACCGAGCAACAAGAGCUCACUGCGUUGCAGGGAUUCGAACCGCCGACCUUCUGAUCGGCAAGUCCUAGGCUCUGUGUUUUAACCCACAGCGCCACCCAGUUUAUGUUAAUAUGAUUCAGAUUCAUGUGUGUUUCCUUUAAGAGGAACAGAACGGAAUUAUCAACCAGGAAGGUAUAAUGAUUGAUAGGACUCAAACGAGUUAGCAACCCGCUUGUUGCUGCAUAAACUCAAACAGGGGAUCAUUUAAACUCUGCUAAAUUAUAUAAACGUUACCACACUGCGUACCCUUGAAUACCCCCUGAAAAAAGCACUGCCCCUUUUUCUGGCAGCCCCUAGACCACUUCAGCACUUUUGUGGGGGAAUUCAGGGGAGGAGAACCUGGAUAAUGUCACACCCCCCCUCCACACUUCAAAAACUGGUUCUUCCCUCUAAAAUCCUGUUUAGAGGUGCAGCAUGCACACACUCACUCACUCACUCACUCAUGGUUUUGCCAUUUGCAGAAACUAAGCUCACUAUCACGCAUAAAUUAGAAAAUAAUUAAAAUGCAUGGAUGUGAAAGGAAGGAGAAUUCCCAUACAGGUGCCUCACUUAUAAAAGGAGCUGAUUGACAUUCAGGAGGUAGUAGGGGUUGUUCUAAGGCAUGCUGGCAUAAGACACUCAGAGCUGUGAUGAAAGAAAUGUGGCCAGGAUGCUCAUGUUUUCCGAAGGGACAGAGAUAGGGCAAUGGAAAAGAGGAAGUGAGGAAGGAAAGCUUGCAGUAAUAAUCCAGCAACAUGGAUGCUCCAAGUCUGGAGAUUAAUAAUGUUCCACUCACUCAGUUUAACCUGCACAGACCUGCUUUGAUUGCCAAUGAAAGAGCCAUGGGGGAGAAGGACUACAACACUGAUGAAAUAGAUUUAUGGAUGAGCAAUACAUUAUUUUCUUUGAUUUGCUGUUGCUAAAUUUGUGGGUUUUUCAGAUCCUCGGUGCUAACCGUUUAAUAUCUUAUGCAUCAAGUUUCACAAGACUCCUGAUGGGCUUUACAAUUACUAAUCCAUCAUAACAGCACCCGGAGGAUUUGCAUUCUGCAGUUAUUUCUCAGAAAGGAGUUUGCUCACUGAGAAACCCAUACCUUGCCAUCAUGGCUCCUUAUCCCUUCCUAUACUCAGAAGUGCUGUAUAUGUUUUCAAUGUUGGUGUGGUACAAUACUGCUGAGAUUAUACCAUUUCAGACUCCAUAUUGAGGACUGGAUGAUUGAAUGCUGUCUCACAUAAAGAAUAAUAAUCUCCCUGCAUAUGGAAAGUUAGCCUGGGAGAGGCUAGCUUUUGAUGUGCAUGAUGUUGUUUACAUGAGAGCACACUUUCAGCCCAAAGGCACCUGAAAGGAUGUACAAAUAUUUAGAAAGCUGA